This 462-nucleotide ribosomal RNA is filed under the name uncultured bacterium. RNAcentral's name for it is "partial 16S ribosomal RNA". It matches the Rfam family "Bacterial small subunit ribosomal RNA", at positions 28 to 507 of the family's 1533-position model. The record is from RNAcentral.
GACGAACGCUGGCGGCGUGCUUAACACAUGCAAGUCGAACGGUAAGGCCUUUCGGGGUACACGAGUGGCGAACGGGUGAGUAACACGUGGGUGAUCUGCCCUGCACUUCGGGAUAAGCCCGGGAAACUGGGUCUAAUACCGGAUAGGACUGCGCGGUGCAUGCCGUGUGGUGGAAAGAUUUAUCGGUGCAGGAUGGGCCCGCGGCCUAUCAGCUUGUUGGUGGGGUAAUGGCCUACCAAGGCGACGACGGGUAGCCGGCCUGAGAGGGCGACCGGCCACACUGGGACUGAGACACGGCCCAGACUCCUACGGGAGGCAGCAGUGGGGAAUAUUGCACAGUGGGCGCAAGCCUGAUGCAGCGACGCCGCGUGAGGGAUGACGGCCUUCGGGUUGUAAACCUCUUUCAGCAGGGACGAGGCGUGAGUGACGGUACCUGCAGAAGAAGCACCGGCCAACUACGUG